RNAcentral lists this ribosomal RNA (271 nucleotides) under uncultured Raoultella sp. RNAcentral describes it as "partial 16S ribosomal RNA". It matches the Rfam family "Bacterial small subunit ribosomal RNA", at positions 355 to 615 of the family's 1533-position model. Lineage: Bacteria; Pseudomonadati; Pseudomonadota; Gammaproteobacteria; Enterobacterales; Enterobacteriaceae. The record is from RNAcentral.
UGGGGAAUAUUGCACAAUGGGCGCAAGCCUGAUGCAGCCAUGCCGCGUGUAUGAAGAAGGCCUUCGGGUUGUAAAGUACUUUCAGCGAGGAGGAAGGCAUUAAGGUUAAUAACCUUAGUGAUUGACGUUACUCGCAGAAGAAGCACCGGCUAACUCCGUGCCAGCAGCCGCGGUAAUACGGAGGGUGCAAGCGUUAAUCGGAAUUACUGGGCGUAAAGCGCACGCAGGCGGUCUGUUAAGUCAGAUGUGAAAAUCCCCCGGGCUCAAGCCU